Molecule: ribosomal RNA, 301 nt
Filed under: uncultured bacterium
Lineage: Bacteria
Description: partial 16S ribosomal RNA
Rfam family: Bacterial small subunit ribosomal RNA
Source: RNAcentral
CAGUAGCCACGGGAAUACGUAGGUGGCAAGCGUUGUCCGGAAUUAUUGGGCGUAAAGCGCGCGCAGGCGGAUCAGUUAGUCUGUCUUAAAAGUUCGGGGCUUAACCCCGUGAUGGGAUGGAAACUGCUGAUCUAGAGUAUCGGAGAGGAAAGUGGAAUUCCUAGUGUAGCGGUGAAAUGCGUAGAUAUUAGGAAGAACACCAGUGGCGAAGGCGACUUUCUGGACGAAAACUGACACUGAGGCGCGAAAGCCAGGGGAGCGAACGGGAUUAGAUACCCCUGUAGUCCCUGUCUCUUAUACA